UUUCUCUCUCUCAAACCCUGGUGUCGUUGCUCAUCUCGCUUCUCUUCUUUGGUGAUUUCCCUUCUUAUCUUGGAUCUUUCUUAAAUCAUCAAAGAUUGUAGGAAUUGAUUUCUUUUGAGAGAAUGAAUUGCGGUUUCAAAGGGUGUUUGUAUACUUUUGAACUAUAAGCCACGGCUGUCAUUUCUCUGUCGAGUUUUUUACUUCUUUUUUCUUCCAAUUUUUGUUUAGUUUGUUUUUAUUUUACUUUUUAAUGAAUUCUUUCAAAUAAAUUGUGUCUUUUGUAGAUUGAUGAGUUGUAUAUUCUUGAUUUUUGAUCCGUUCCAUUAUAUUAAGAUCUGCUUUUUUUUUUCUCA
Olea europaea var. sylvestris is the source of this 353-nucleotide long non-coding RNA. RefSeq lists it as uncharacterized. The transcript has 2 exons. The record is from RefSeq and is a predicted model, not a curated record. NCBI's taxonomy places the organism in Eukaryota, Viridiplantae, Streptophyta, Magnoliopsida, Lamiales, Oleaceae.